RNAcentral lists this ribosomal RNA (305 nucleotides) under uncultured bacterium. Its description in RNAcentral is "bacterial SSU rRNA". It matches the Rfam family "Bacterial small subunit ribosomal RNA", at positions 333 to 636 of the family's 1533-position model. The record is from RNAcentral.
UAUGUCCUACGGGGGGCAGCAGUGAGGAAUAUUGGUCAAUGGGAGAGAUCCUGAACCAGCCAAGCCGCGUGAGGGAAGACGGCCCUAUGGGUUGUAAACCUCUUUUGUCGGAGAACAAAACCCGGGACGAGUCCCGGACUGCGUGUAUCCGAAGAAAAAGCAUCGGCUAACUCCGUGCCAGCAGCCGCGGUAAUACGGAGGAUGCGAGCGUUAUCCGGAUUCAUUGGGUUUAAAGGGUGCGCAGGCGGAAGAUCAAGUCAGCGGUAAAAUUGAGAGGCUCAACCUCUUUGAGCCGUUGAAACUGG